This 577-nucleotide long non-coding RNA is filed under the name Salvator merianae (Argentine black and white tegu). Its description in RNAcentral is "lncRNA (ENSSMRG00000011823.1)". Lineage: Eukaryota; Metazoa; Chordata; Lepidosauria; Squamata; Teiidae. The record is from RNAcentral.
AGAAGUGUCUAGCCCACUAUCUACACCUUGCACAAAGAAACAAUGAGCAACCAAAGCAGGCAGCAAGAGAAUGGAGGCAAUGGAGGAGUGGUUAUCAUCACUCUGCUGGGAACAGAAUAACAGAGUAAAGAAGCCAAGCAUCUUGGNCAAGAGCUACCAGUUUCUUCAUUGACUGACACAGUGUUUUAACCCAGACAACCGAAGAAUGAUGACCGACAAAUGACUUCUACGGUUUCACCUAAAUACGGGUCUCGUCCUGAUCACCUUCCACUUGUUUCUGGAGCGCUCUCUCUCCAGCCUUCAGUAAGUGCUUGGAAGCUGCAAGNGAAGACAACCAGCUGGAUUGCAUCCAAGAUUUUUAAUCAAGUUCUGUCCUCAUUAUAUAUGUCCCUGGGAUUGAGAACAUCCUAUGUGCUCUGCAUAUGAGUAUAGACUGGAGCAGCAAAAGGCAACUACUAUAAGGAUUUCUGUGCUACAGGUUUUGCAAUGCAUAAUAUUUAUUUUUAAGGACUUUAUUAUUUCAAAUAAUCAUCUUUGAAAUAAUAAAGUCCUUAAAGCUUGGAUGAGGUGCUUCUUU